GCCUCCGUAGCUCAGGGGAUAGAGCACCGCUCUCCUAAAGCGGGUGCCGCAGGUUCGAAUCCUGCCGGGGGCA
Microbispora rosea is the source of this 73-nucleotide non-coding RNA. The record is from Rfam. NCBI's taxonomy places the organism in Bacteria, Bacillati, Actinomycetota, Actinomycetes, Streptosporangiales, Streptosporangiaceae.